This 388-nucleotide ribosomal RNA is filed under the name uncultured bacterium. Its description in RNAcentral is "bacterial SSU rRNA". It matches the Rfam family "Bacterial small subunit ribosomal RNA", at positions 28 to 418 of the family's 1533-position model. The record is from RNAcentral.
GACGAACGCUGGCGGCGUGCUUAACACAUGCAAGUCGAACGGUGACGGAGAGCUUGCUCUCCUGAUCAGUGGCGAACGGGUGAGUAACACGUGGGCAACCUGCCCAGACUUCGGGAUAACGCUUCGAAAGAGGUGCUAAUACCGAAUACGAACGCCGUGGGCAUCCACGGUGUUGGAAAGUUUUUCGGUCUGGGAUGGGCCCGCGGCCUAUCAGCUUGUUGGUGAGGUAAUGGCUCACCAAGGCGACGACGGGUAGCCGGCCUGAGAGGGCGACCGGCCACACUGGGACUGAGACACGGCCCAGACUCCUACGGGAGGCAGCAGUGGGGAAUAUUGCGCAAUGGGCGAAAGCCUGACGCAGCAACGCCGCGUGGGGGAUGAAGGCCUC